GACGAACGCUGGCGGCGUGCUUAACACAUGCAAGUCGAACGGAAAGGCCCUGCUUUUGUGGGGUGCUCGAGUGGCGAACGGGUGAGUAACACGUGAGUAACCUGCCCUUGACUUUGGGAUAACUUCAGGAAACUGGGGCUAAUACCGGAUAGGAGCCCCUGCUGCAUGGUGGGGGUUGGAAAGUUUCGGCGGUUGGGGAUGGACUCGCGGCUUAUGAGCUUGUUGGUGGGGUAGUGGCUUACCAAGGCUUUGACGGGUAGCCGGCCUGAGAGGGUGACCGGCCACAUUGGGACUGAGAUACGGCCCAGACUCCUACGGGAGGCAGCAGUGGGGAGUAUUGCACAAUGGGAGGAAGCCUGAUGCAGCAACGCCGCGUGCGGGAUGACGGCCUUCGGGGUGUAAACCGCUUUCGCCUGUGACGAAGCGUGAGUGACGGUAAUGGGUAAAGAAGCACCGGCUAACUACGUG
RNAcentral lists this ribosomal RNA (468 nucleotides) under uncultured bacterium. RNAcentral describes it as "partial 16S ribosomal RNA". It matches the Rfam family "Bacterial small subunit ribosomal RNA", at positions 28 to 507 of the family's 1533-position model. The record is from RNAcentral.